GCAGGACUAGCUCAGAAGGUUAGAGCGUGUGGCUGUUAACCACAAGGUCAGAGGUUCGAAUCCUCUGUCCAGCG
Molecule: transfer RNA, 74 nt
Organism: Selaginella moellendorffii
Lineage: Eukaryota; Viridiplantae; Streptophyta; Lycopodiopsida; Selaginellales; Selaginellaceae
Rfam family: tRNA
About the family: Transfer RNA (tRNA) molecules are approximately 80 nucleotides in length. Their secondary structure includes four short double-helical elements and three loops (D, anti-codon, and T loops). Further hydrogen bonds mediate the characteristic L-shaped molecular structure. tRNAs have two regions of fundamental functional importance: the anti-codon, which is responsible for specific mRNA codon recognition, and the 3' end, to which the tRNAs corresponding amino acid is attached (by aminoacyl-tRNA synthetases). tRNAs cope with the degeneracy of the genetic code in two manners: having more than one tRNA (with a specific anti-codon) for a particular amino acid; and 'wobble' base-pairing, i.e. permitting non-standard base-pairing at the 3rd anti-codon position.
Source: Rfam